AACAGGAUUAGAUACCCUGGUAGUCCACGCCGUAAACGAUGAGUGCUAGGUGUUGGGGGGCUACGCCCCUCAGUGCCGAAGGUAACCCAUUAAGCACUCCGCCUGGGGAGUACGGCCGCAAGGCUGAAACUCAAAGGAAUUGACGGGGGCCCGCACAAGCGGUGGAGCAUGUGGUUUAAUUCGAAGCAACGCGAAGAACCUUACCAGGGCUUGACAUCCCGCUGACCCCUCCAGAGAUGGAGGUUUCCUUCGGGACAGCGGUGACAGGUGGUGCAUGGUUGUCGUCAGCUCGUGUCGUGAGAUGUUGGGUUCAGUCCCGCAACGAGCGCAACCCUUGUCGUUAGUUGCCAGCAUUUCGGAUGGGCACUCUAACGAGACAGCCGGUGAAAGCCGGGGGAAGGUGGGGAUGACGUCAAAUCAUCAUGCCCCUUAUGUCCUGGGCUACACACGUGCUACAAUGGCUGGUACAAAGGGCUGCGAACCCGCGAGGGGGAGCCAAUCCCAAAAAGCCAGUCUCAGUUCGGAUCGCAGGCUGCAACUCGCCUGCGUGAAGCCGGAAUCGCUAGUAAUCGCGGAUCAGCAUGCCGCGGUGAAUAUGUUCCCGGGCCUUGUACACACCGCCCGUCACACCACGAGAGUUUGCAACACCCGAAGUCGGUGAGGCAACCUUUUAGGAGCCAGCCGCCGAAGGUAGGGCAGAUGAUUGGGGUGAAGUCGUAACAAGGUAACC
RNAcentral lists this ribosomal RNA (730 nucleotides) under uncultured bacterium. RNAcentral's name for it is "bacterial SSU rRNA". It matches the Rfam family "Bacterial small subunit ribosomal RNA", at positions 771 to 1501 of the family's 1533-position model. The record is from RNAcentral.